Molecule: non-coding RNA, 87 nt
Filed under: Pseudomonas gessardii
Lineage: Bacteria; Pseudomonadati; Pseudomonadota; Gammaproteobacteria; Pseudomonadales; Pseudomonadaceae
Also listed under: 1 other name
Source: RNAcentral
UGUCGCGGCAGCUGUGCGCGGGAUACCUUCGGGUAUGCCGGAAUCACUGGUUUCCGGUCGGUCAACCCGCGUACAGCUGCCACCCUA